RNAcentral lists this long non-coding RNA (1339 nucleotides) under Sus scrofa (pig). Its description in RNAcentral is "lncRNA (ENSSSCG00050073674.1)". Lineage: Eukaryota; Metazoa; Chordata; Mammalia; Artiodactyla; Suidae. The record is from RNAcentral.
AUGUAUUAUUUCUAUCCCAGGGUGUACGCCAUGGUUGUGACAGCAGAUCGAGCCUGCUGUCUCACAGAUAUCAGCAUUACCGCCCCCUCCUGCCGUUCACUCCUGCCUUCCACAUCUGUGCCUUCUCUCUGCAGGCUAAGAGGCAAGGAUGUGUUCCUGAUGCAGCCUUCAGAUUAUCUUGUUUCGUGCUUCUUAGGAAAUUUGUACAUUUUACAGAAAAGAAAUGAACUUGUAAAGAGGAAAAAACAUAGAAACUAAAAGAGAUUCCUAGUGUCUGCUUAGUUAAGAAUUGAAAGGCGCACAGUUUGGGAAACCAUCCAUAUUGCAGUGUUUCUAUGUCCCUUUGGGCUUUUUAAAGAGUGACUUGGAGGAGUUCCCUUGUGGCUCAGCAGGUUAAGGACUCAGUGUUGUCACUGCAGGGGCUCUGGUUGCUGCUAUGGCAUGGGUUUGAUCCCUAGCCUAGGAACUUCCACAUGCUGCAGAUGUGGCCCAAAAGAAAAAAAGGGAUUCGGGGAGUUCUCGUCGUGGCGCAGUGGAAAUGAAUCUGACUAGGAACCAUGAGGUUUCGGGUUUGAUCCCUGGCCUCGCUCAUGGGUUAAGGAACUGGCAUUCCUGUGAACUGUGGUAUAGGUCGCAGAUGCAGCUCGGAUCUCACGUUGCUAUAGCUGUGGUGUAGGCUGGCAGCUGUAGCUCCAGUUCGAUCCGUAGCCUGGGAACCUCCAUAUGCCGCGGGUGCAGCCCUAAAAAAGCAAAAGAAAAAAAGUGAGUUGGAAAUAAUAAGGCUAAGAUCGGCAAUUUUCUAAAAAUUGUUCAAUAUUGAAAAAACGUUUGUGUAUGAUAUAUACACAUACGUGCCCGUAUACAUAUGGAAAGUAUAUGUGUGUGAAUACAUAUAUAUGCAUGUGUGUGUACAUAUGUAUUUGUGUAUAUACAUACACAGACAUACAUAUAUAGUUGAAUUUUAUUCUAAACCUAUAUAUCUUAUCAUCCAACUUACCCCAUUCAUAUUAAUUGAUAACAUCUUUUUUGAAACUUUGCAUUACGAUACUAACAUUUAAAAACUAUUGGAGGAGUUCCCGAAUCCGACUAGGAACCAUGAGGUUGCGGGUUCGGUCCCUGCCCUUGCUCAGUGGGUUAACGAUCCGGUGUUGCCGUGAGCUGUGGUGUAGGUUGCAGACGCGGCUCGGAUCCCGCGUUGCUGUGGCUCUGGUGUAGGCCGGGGGCUACGGCUCCGAUUCGACCCCUAGCCUGGGAACCUCCAUAUGCCACGGGAGCGGCCCAAAGAAAUAGCAAAAAGACAAAAAAUAAAAUAAAAAAAAAUAAUAAAUAAAUAAAAAAA